GCAUAACGCGAAGAACCUUACCAAGGCUUGACAUAAUACUGAAUAUGUUGGAAACAACAUAGUCCUUCGGGACAGUAUUACAGGUGGUGCAUGGUUGUCGUCAGCUCGUGUCGUGAGAUGUUGGGUUAAGUCCCGCAACGAGCGCAACCCUUGUCAUUAGUUGCCAUCAGGUAAAGCUGGGCACUCUAAUGAGACUAUCGGUGAUAAACCGGGGGAAGGUGGGGACGACGUCAAAUCAUCAUGCCCCUUAUGUCUUGGGCUACACACGUACUACAAUGGCUAUUACAACAGGCAGCUAAGGAGUAAUCCGGAGCAAAUCCCAAAAGAUAGUCCCAGUUCGGAUUGUGGGCUGCAACUCGCCCACAUGAAGUCGGAAUUGCUAGUAAUUGCAGGUCAGCAUACUGCAGUGAAUACGUUCCCGGGUCUUGUACACACCG
This 437-nucleotide ribosomal RNA is filed under the name uncultured bacterium. Its description in RNAcentral is "bacterial SSU rRNA". It matches the Rfam family "Bacterial small subunit ribosomal RNA", at positions 954 to 1392 of the family's 1533-position model. The record is from RNAcentral.